CUGAAUUUCAGGAGGGUUGUUGCUGGCUUCAUUGCAUGUGCACACCCUUCGAUCUUCUAUACACACCUGUGCACACCUGUAGAGAAAGCUGACGCGAGUCGGCGACUAUCUAUGUCUUUCACAAACUCUUGUAUGUUAAAGAAUGUCUAUCUAUGGUCGCCUUAAAACCGUGACUAUAAAAUCUUAUA
Molecule: unclassified non-coding RNA, 188 nt
Filed under: uncultured Basidiomycota
Lineage: Eukaryota; Fungi; Basidiomycota
Description: sequence contains ITS1
Source: RNAcentral